GAUCCUGGCUUAGGAUGAACGCUGGCGGUGUGCCUAAUACAUGCAAGUCGAUCGGGCGUAGCAAUACGUCAGAGGCGUACGGGUGAGUAACACGUAGGUAACCUACCUUUAAGACUGGGAUACCCAGACGAAAGUUUGGCUAAUACCGGAUAACAACAUUUGAGACAUCUCUUUUGUUUGAAAGGCGCUGCAAGGCGCCACUUUUAGAUGGACCUGCGUCGCAUUAGCUAGUUGGUGAGAUAAAAGCCCACCAAGGCUGGGAUGCGUAGCCGAUCUGAGAGGAUGACCGGCCACAAUGGGACUGAGACACGGCCCAUACUCCUACGGGAGGCAGCAGUAGGGAGUUUUCGGCAAUGGGGGAAACCCUGACCGAGCAACACCGCGUGAGUGAUGAAGGUCUUCGGAUCGUAAAGCUCUGUUACGAGGGACGAAUGAUCGCUUUAGGAAAUGAGAGCGGUUUGACGGUACCUCGCCAGAAAGCGACGGCUAACUACGUGCCAGCCGCAGC
RNAcentral lists this ribosomal RNA (508 nucleotides) under uncultured bacterium. Its description in RNAcentral is "bacterial SSU rRNA". It matches the Rfam family "Bacterial small subunit ribosomal RNA", at positions 15 to 518 of the family's 1533-position model. The record is from RNAcentral.